This 254-nucleotide ribosomal RNA is filed under the name uncultured bacterium. RNAcentral's name for it is "partial 16S ribosomal RNA". It matches the Rfam family "Bacterial small subunit ribosomal RNA", at positions 524 to 776 of the family's 1533-position model. The record is from RNAcentral.
UACGUAGGCAGCGAGCGUUGUUCGGAGUUACUGGGCGUAAAGGGUGUGUAGGCGGUUUUCUAAGUUUGGUGUGAAAUCUCCCGGCUCAACCGGGAGGGUGCGCCGAAAACUGGGAGACUAGGGUGCGGGAUGGGAGAGUAGAAUUCCUGGUGGUAGCGGUGAAAUGCGUAGAUAUCAGGAGGAAUACCGGUGGUGUAGACGGCUCUCUGGACCGCCACUGACGCUGAGACACGAAAGCGUGGGUAGCAAACAGG